AGUGAACGCUGGCGGUAGGCCUAACACAUGCAAGUCGAACGGCAGCACAGUAAGAGCUUGCUCUUACGGGUGGCGAGUGGCGGACGGGUGAGGAAUACAUCGGAAUCUACUUUUUCGUGGGGGAUAACGUGGGGAAACUUACGCUAAUACCGCAUACGACCUACGGGUGAAAGCAGGGGAUCUUCGGACCUUGCGCGAUUGAAUGAGCCGAUGUCGGAUUAGCUAGUUGGCGGGGUAAAGGCCCACCAAGGCGACGAUCCGUAGCUGGUCUGAGAGGAUGAUCAGCCACCCUGGAACUGAGACACGGUCCAGCCUCCUACGGGAGGCAGCAGUGGGGAAUAUUGGACAAUGGGCGCAAGCCUGAUCCAGCCAUACCGCGUGGGUUAAGAAGGCCUUCGGGUUGUAAAGCCCUUUUGUUGGGAAAGAAAAGCAGCAGGUUAAUACCCCGCUGUUCUGACGGUACCCAAAGAAUAAGCACCGGCUAACUUCGUG
This 492-nucleotide ribosomal RNA is filed under the name uncultured bacterium. RNAcentral describes it as "partial 16S ribosomal RNA". It matches the Rfam family "Bacterial small subunit ribosomal RNA", at positions 29 to 507 of the family's 1533-position model. The record is from RNAcentral.